RNAcentral lists this ribosomal RNA (76 nucleotides) under Oscillospiraceae bacterium. RNAcentral's name for it is "partial 23S ribosomal RNA". Lineage: Bacteria; Bacillati; Bacillota; Clostridia; Eubacteriales; Oscillospiraceae. The record is from RNAcentral.
AGGUUGAUAGGUUGCGUGUGUAAGCAUAGUGAUAUGUUCAGCUUGGCAAUACUAAUAGGUCGAGGGCUUGACCACA